Molecule: transfer RNA, 85 nt
Filed under: Ptilocaulis walpersi
Lineage: Eukaryota; Metazoa; Porifera; Demospongiae; Axinellida; Axinellidae
Description: tRNA-Ser
Rfam family: tRNA
About the family: Transfer RNA (tRNA) molecules are approximately 80 nucleotides in length. Their secondary structure includes four short double-helical elements and three loops (D, anti-codon, and T loops). Further hydrogen bonds mediate the characteristic L-shaped molecular structure. tRNAs have two regions of fundamental functional importance: the anti-codon, which is responsible for specific mRNA codon recognition, and the 3' end, to which the tRNAs corresponding amino acid is attached (by aminoacyl-tRNA synthetases). tRNAs cope with the degeneracy of the genetic code in two manners: having more than one tRNA (with a specific anti-codon) for a particular amino acid; and 'wobble' base-pairing, i.e. permitting non-standard base-pairing at the 3rd anti-codon position.
Source: RNAcentral
GAUGAAAUGGCUGAAGUGGUUAAAGCACCAGUUUGCUAAAUUGGGAGAAUUAAAUUCUGUAAGGGUUCAAGUCCCUUUUUCAUCG